Tympanuchus pallidicinctus (lesser prairie-chicken) is the source of this 5654-nucleotide long non-coding RNA. RefSeq lists it as uncharacterized. NCBI's taxonomy places the organism in Eukaryota, Metazoa, Chordata, Aves, Galliformes, Phasianidae. The transcript has 4 exons. The record is from RefSeq and is a predicted model, not a curated record.
UAAUCUUUUAAACCUCUUUGUGUGGAAGAAGAAAAAAAAAAUCUGCUAAAUAACUUGAGAGUCCCUAGGUAUUUUUUAAAAGGCUAGGAAGGUCAGUUGGAAAGUUCUGAGUAACUGCAGUUUCCUAAGUAUCAGUACCAAAAGUCUGAAAGCACAUAAAGAAAGCUGUUUGCUAAGCAUUUUAUGCUUGUGUGAGACAUUCAUACGACAGACUUAUCUGACAUGUUUGGCAUCAAGAGUGGAGGUGUGAAGGAGGUAUCACAUUUGGAGUGACCUAAUUAAUAAUGUUGAAUAAAUUCUUAUUUUUGUGUUACCAAUUUCUUCUCAAAGACAAGAAACUUACUGUAACUCAGCAAAGUAGCAAUAUUAUUAAGGUCUGACAUUUCCUUUUCUAUAGACAUUUUUUUGAUUCAGUGGAAAUAAGGCUUUUACUAAUCAGUAGGCAACCCACACAGAGGUCAUCUAUAAUUCUAUUUAAAAACUUCUGUCAGAGGAGGGAAAAAGUGCAUCACUAUAUGGUGGUGUUUAUGACGGUGAGAAGAAUGGGGUAAGGGUGGCAAGCAGAACUGUACAGAACAGGCGCAGUGAAAAAAAAGACAACAAUUAUUCAGCCUGCACUGAAGGUUUGUCGUUGUUACAGUAGGAGAGAGAAAAGGGCUGUUAUGCAGAAGUUUCAUGUAAACUCACUGCAGUGUUUCAUUCAUAGUAAACUUUACCAUACAUGGGUAAAUGAUCAGCCUAAUUACAUCUCUUAUAUCUACUGUAGGAGUCUCAUUAUUUCCUUCUGUUCCACCAUCUGUCUCUGCCCAUCUGUUUUCUCUUAUGGUUGGCCUGUAAGUUCUUUGGGGUAGAAUUUGUUUUUAAUUUCUUUUUAUGGCAUCUAAUUAAGGGGAUUCUGGUUUGAAACUAGGAAUUGUAAGCAAAGUAAUAGAAAAUAUCUCAUAAUAGAGCUUGCAUAUGUAAGAAACUGUGUUAACUAUGAGUUAUAAGCACUUGAAUACCACAAGACUUCACAUUUCAUGAAAGUGUAAGGCAUUCUCUUAAACCAUAAUAUUUGAUAUCUGGCUAACUUGUGCGUCAAUUCCUUUUAUUUUUCCUCAUGUCAGAAGUGCACAGGUCAAUGCAUUUGAUCUGCAAGUCUUUUCUGAACUUUCUUAUAUGCAGCAUGCUAGUCAGAAUGUGUUUCCAAUUGGUUGUCAGUGAAUUACAAUCCCUUUAUUUUUUUAUUUAUUUUUUUUCUUGAUGCAGAUGUAGGUAUUCUAUUCGCUGUCUUUGGAUUUCAGCUUGAGUCUCUCUCAUUUUGGGAUUAUUCACUGCCCUGAAAAAUUUUAAAACCAUCCAAGCAGCACUCUCACGUCCGUCAAAAUAAUCUCAUUUAAAGAAAUGAUGAUGUGGAAUUCCUAGAGCAGUGAAACUGUUCUGAACAAAAUACGUGUACAAUAAAUAUAUGAAAAUUGAUAAAAAAUAUUGAUUUACAACUUUGUUGAUGAUAGAGGUCAAGGAUGUGUUUAACAUAUGUAUUAAUAUUUCAUAAAAUCAAAUUAUUGCUGUAGCAUAUGUUAACUGGGUAUUUAGGGUAUAAAUAUGCACUCUGAUAGCUCCUUUCUUGUUCACUGUUGUGGACGUGUGCUUGCACAAAGUCAAACAUUGGUCUAGGAGACAUACAAAAUUGUUCUUAGUGGAUUUGAUUCCUCUGUGACACCUAUCUCUUUGUAUGUUUCCUAGUUUUUAAGCCCAAUAGCAGCGCCCUUAACUUGUCCAGCUGAAAUAUCCCUUUGGAUGAGUUUAAUGCAUUUUCUCUGGGAUUUCCUUAAUCUUAAAUGGACCACAGGAAAAGUUUAAGGCUAGGAUUCAUAAUGGAAGUAAGAACUACUGAAGUUUUGAGAGUAUGGCAGUCAUGAGUUGUAAGUAUCUUCAAAGUCUGAUGAAUUGAUAACCAGGCUGUUAGAUAGGAAACAAGAAAAUUUAGUCUGUGGCAAAUUUUGGUUAUGUAUUACUAAAAGAUGUGUAAACAAAGUCAAAUCAUCAGUUGCUUCAGGCUGGGUAUAGCUGUAGAAAUGCUUAAGGCAGCUUCCUCAGUAAAUGAAGAGUCAAAACAGCAGUCCAUGGAGUGACACGUGAAUAUCAAAGAAAAUCUUCAAGACACAGCCAUCAGCGGAUAAAGAGAUGUGCACUAUUUUGGGGAGGAUAGGAAAAGGGUGAUUCUUCUACAUCUCCUGGAACAUGGACAAGCCAUUAACUCUGACUCCUACGCUGCAGUGCUGACUAAAUUGAAGGCUUGAACUUCCAGAAUCAGGCGGAGAAGAGGACAACGUUUUUUUUGCAACAUGAUAACACCAGGACCUGAUUUCUUGGACCUGAUUGUGUCUUUUAUCUGAUUAUGGAGUUGCUGUGACCAUCUUGUACUUUUGGAUGUGAUCAUCAGCUGCAGAUGUGAAGGUGUAUGACUUAUCUUCUAGAAACAUCAUGCAAGAACUGAGAACUGAGACUCAGUGAAUAAAGGUCCCUGGGACAACUGAGAACCAACUUGACAGAGGGUCAAAAUAAAUCUUCCUGCAGGAGCAUAGAGCUGUUCCAAGUAGCCUUCUAUGGACAUUGCCUUCAUCCUAUUUUUUGAUAGGGCAGUUUCCACAGUUACCAGCUCUUCUGUUUGAGGUUUCUGUGCUGUCUCCUAUCUGUAUUACUGAACAUAGCUCUUCCAUUAGUUAAAUGCUACAAUCCCUGUCAUGGAGAAUAUCACAAAGAAUGAGAAUUUGGCAAAGGUUUUAUUUGAGCUAUUAUUAUGUGUGGUUAUUCUGUACAGAAGGUGCUUGUUUAGUGUGAUGUCUUACCGUCUGGGGACUGUGAAAUAAAAUCAGUGUAAAAGUUUUGACCACUAGUAAUGACUUCAGUUACAUCAGAAGGCCUAGGCUGAAUUAGUAAAAUGUUGGUUGGUUGUUUUUGUGGGUUUUUUUUUUUUUUUUUUUUAAGGUCUCCAAGAAGCCAGAGUAUACACACAGUCAGCCAUGCAUUGAGCACUCAUCCUCAAGAUUAGAUUCUGUAUUAAACAUCAUCUUUUUUCGUGAUUACCUUAGCCCAGGAAAUUGAAAUUUGUGGUUUGCACAAAAGAAAGUAUGCAUGCUUUUAUACUGUAGGAAUUUCCAGGUAAGAUUAAAAUAUAAAAAGCGGGAGGCUUUUUAUGAGAUAAGCAUUCAAAAUGUAGAAAGAUGAAUAUAAGGCCCAUAUGUUUGAUGGUGUAUGUGUGGGACCUAUAACAAAAAAAUAUCUGAAAGUUACUCUUAUGUGUCAUAAAUGAAGUUUUCACAUAAACAAUAUUUUUAAAUGGGUAUUUUUCAUAUUAAAAAUGAUUAAACUAGUGUUUUCAGCCUGUGGUUGCAAGGGCCCUAUGGUGAGGAGAAGGAGGAGGGAAAGACUCUCACUCAAAUUAAGACCUCAUCUCUGUCACAUUAGCUGUCAGCAGCUGAGUUUUCUCAUGAUACAAGGAAGUGUGUCCUUCUGUUGUUUUAAACUGGUACAUAUGUCUGCCUGCUUAUUAGAAGGAAUUUCAUGCUGAGAAUACAUGGUGUGGAUGCUCAUAAAAUUCACUGGCUUACUGGACAGGAUAAAGGUGUUAACUUUAACCUACUGGAAGUAUUGAAUACUUUGCCACUAAAAUCUUAAACAGCAGAGAUAAGCUGUAAUUCUAAGAUGAUAAAUCUUCUGAUUUCUAUCAUAAGCUCUUUCUAUAUUAUGCUCUUUCUAUAUUAUUCUACAGAAUACUAAUUUGGAUAUUUAAGUUCUAAAUAGUGUGAAUGUAAAAUUAAGUUCUCAGAACCUGUAAAAAGCAAAGCUUUAUGUGUAAAGGCCAUUAUUUUGUGCUGAACUGUCUCAAAGGAGAGUACAAAGCAAAUCUGUUCCACUCUGUAUAUUACAAGAGAAUUGAUCAUCUGCAGGUGACUGAAACUACACUUUGUCAGACCCUAGGUAAACUGUUUCUUUUGCCUGUAGUCUUGAUUUAGUUUGUUGUGGAAUUGUGCGCGUGAUGUCUUUAUUUUCUUCUAUUAUUGAUAUCUACUUUACCCUUUAGCUCUUCCAAAAAAAAUGGCCAAAAUAUUAAAGGCAUACAGACAAGAAUUGAUUAUGAACUAUAGGGCAAAGAAUGCUUUUCCCACGCCCAAGAACUGUGGACUAAGAAAUGGAUAAUUUAUGCACCAAGUAACACUAACUGGUUUGUUGUUUUUUUUUUUUAAUGCACAAUUAGGUAUGCUAAUAAUGUAAAAGAAAAGGCCAUUUUUUUUGUGUGUGUGUAUGUGAUGAAGAAAUAUAGGUGAUGUCUGAAAAUAUUAAUCAAGCCUAAAAGUUAAGUUUUUUAGAAAGUGCCUGCUGCUUUUGUCACAAAUUCUUGAUAUUAAUGUUCCAGCAACUAUGUUUGCAGACGUAGUACAAUAUCAUACAACAUAGCAUAGUACAACUGGAGACACUUUACUUCAAAUGUGUAUUCCUUUGUUUGUGAAGCACCUCUGAGCAUAGGUUCUAAAAAUUCUGAAGUUCUGUAAUUUUUUGGGUAAAGUAACAUACCUGUCACAGAAUUUCUAGCAAGUAAUCUGUGCCACUUCCUAGCCCUCACUAAGAUAUACUUAUUCUUUAAAGAGUAACUUUGUAAGCUAUUUUGUUGUUUUCUCCUUGUGUAAGUAGUAAUAUAUUCCUCCAUGCCCGUAUUCUGAGAUAAACUGUUCAUGUCAAAAAGUGGGAUCAACCAGUAAGUUGAAAUAAAGCAAAUCUGACUUCCUCAUCUUUGCUGCCAAAAAUCUUUCACUGGAAAGAUUAGUUUAUUUUCUAAAGUUGUAGUUUUGCCACCUCCACCAACUUCUCUUUCCUAGCCCUUGCUCCUGGGAUCUAGUAGCAUUAAUAAUUGCUGAAGUGCUGAAACAUUACACUUAAAUGUCACUGAUCUCAAUUAAGAAAAAAAUGUAUUAUGGUUCAAGCAAUGUUUAAGUUGGUAGAAAAUUAUACAGAAAACUCUUUGGCCCUUUAAGUUACUGCUUUGAUGUUAGCUUAAUGUCUACUUUCUGGCAAGAAUAAUACAGAGAUUUUUAUGAACAUUUGACUUUACUGUGAUUGCUGCUAGGGACUGUCAUUCUACAGAAGGUAAAUUGUAUGUGUGGCUACAGACUGAUUAAAUUACUUCCAUUCAUUAAAUUACAAAUCUCUCAGAAUAAAUAACACUAAUAUUUUCCAGCAUCUACAAUUUAAACUAUGCUUAGUCUUUACUGGUCCAAUUGAGAACUUUAGACUCUUAAUUUCUUCUGGGAGUGAUAGUCUUGUGUAACAGCAUAACGUAGGAAAGGUAAGGCUGUGUAACCCUUUAAUAUACAACUGAUCAUUUUCCUGGAAGGAAACAAAGAGGUAAGGGAGUAUUGUAUUUGACAAAAAAUACUGAAGCAAAAGAAUAGGAAAAACAAAUACUGUUUAUGUUAAAUUUGAUUUAGUAAAGUACUUGGUGCACAGAACUAUGCAAAACAUUCAAAGCACAUUAAGUCUGGAGAGUUCACAAAGAUGAACCUUAAAAUUCUGAAUCAGUAGGCAAAGACAGCACCUGGCUUACCAAUUUAAGGUAGAGAAACCGUGAAUACUGUUAAAUAAGACAUGACUUCAGUUGGCACCUCAGGGUUCAA